AUUGAACGCUGGCGGCAGGCCUAACACAUGCAAGUCGAGCGGAUGAAGGGAGCUUGCUCCUGGAUUCAGCGGCGGACGGGUGAGUAAUGCCUAGGAAUCUGCCUGGUAGUGGGGGGUAACGUCCGGAAACGGGCGCUAAUACCGCAUACGUCCUGAGGGAGAAAGUGGGGGAUCUUCGGACCUCACGCUAUCAGAUGAGCCUAGGUCGGAUUAGCUAGUUGGUGGGGUAAAGGCCUACCAAGGCGACGAUCCGUAACUGGUCUGAGAGGAUGAUCAGUCACACUGGAACUGAGACACGGUCCAGACUCCUACGGGAGGCAGCAGUGGGGAAUAUUGGACAAUGGGCGAAAGCCUGAUCCAGCCAUGCCGCGUGUGUGAAGAAGGUCUUCGGAUUGUAAAGCACUUUAAGUUGGGAGGAAGGGCAGUAAGUUAAUACCUUGCUGUUUUGACGUUACCAACAGGAUAAGCACCGGCUAACUUCGUG
Molecule: ribosomal RNA, 484 nt
Filed under: uncultured bacterium
Lineage: Bacteria
Description: partial 16S ribosomal RNA
Rfam family: Bacterial small subunit ribosomal RNA
Source: RNAcentral